AUGGUACGCCUUUGGCGUACCCUCGAAAAAAAAUACAUGACUGAUGGAAUAAAACCAGUGCUAGAGGAGAAGUUUCCUAGCCAUGUUGCUGUUUUGGCUGCAAGGACCCCUGAGCUUGCGUGUUCUUCUACGAUGGCUGGGAAACAAACAGUGCCCUUGUCAAACAAGAACUCGCCGAAUACUAUUGCUGACUUGCCUGGAAGGAACCACCAACCCGCCACCUCAGAUAUGACCGUUGGAAAAAAAAUAGUGCCAGAGAACAAGUUGCACGGCACUGAACAGAUGAUGCCUGUAGGGACUGAUGUAAGACAUGUAGGACCGGUAGCAAAGUUACUGAAGACUAACCUGAGUUUGCCUCCAACACACUUCCAAGGUGAUGCAAACAAGGAGAACUGGCCACCGAGAAUAGUUGAAGAGCCAGCCAACGAAUUUAAGAGUAGAAAGGUGUCCGGGAUGUGCGACGACUACUGCCCAGCUCCAUGUUUUGGAGUGAUUUUCGAUGAAUUGGAACCUGUCCUUGAGGAAGGAGAUAAGGACAUCAACAAAUGGGAUGAAGUUCUUAACAUGCAAACAGAGAAUAUCACAACAGCGAGCAUAAGAGAAGUAAUAAACCUUGAUGAUGAUGUGUGGGAUGCAGAGGAACUAGAGGCAGCGUGUGCUGAAGCAGAACGAAGGGGGAAAGAAUUAGUUAAUUGUGCUAUGUUCAGUACACCAGAGAAAAUCAUCAAUGAAAUAGAUGUGGGGUCAGGUGGUAAGUUUUCUAGCAGUAGUAGUUUAGGGGAGGUGAUUACCAACAAAUUUGAGAGGAGGCUCAUCAAGCCAUCAGCAUCUUUGAGAUCACCUUUCAUAGGCAUUGACAACAAAAAGGAAUUCUAUUGCAAACCCGAAGUCAAUCGCUUGUAUGCAUCUGUUAUUUUGCACGCAAGGCGCAGUGCAGAAGAAUCACCCGAUACGGAUAACAGCCCAAGACUCAUUGAAUUCGAGGGAUACUUUGUAACCUUGAGGGAGCUCGCGGAGUCCAUGAAGUGUGGUGGUUUCGUCGUUUCGCAUGUUUUCCAAGUUGGGUUACAAAGUAUAAUUUACAACUUGCCAGUAGAUUCAAAGAAGGUUAUCAUGCCAGUUAAAUUCUCGGUCAGGUUACAACAGAUGAUAUGGAAUACAAAAGAGAUUACUGCCAGGUUUAACAAGUCGAAUCACUUGGAUCGAAAAUACAUGAUUAUGUUUCCUAUCCUAGAGAACAUUGACCCAGAAAAACCAGUAUCGGGGAAUCAUUACCGGGUGUUCAAUUUGAACAUAAGGGACAAGAGGUUUGAAGUCCUUGAUUCCUGGAGGACACUAGAUAAUCCUGUCUUGGACAAGAACGCUAGGUUGAUAGCAGCAACUGUUCGUAGUUUAUGGGAGCAUCAUUAUGGACACUCACGUGUUGUGCUGGAUAAGUUUCCGCUAGUCAACAUCGAUGUCCCGAGGCAGAACAAUGAGUAA
Molecule: ribosomal RNA, 1482 nt
Filed under: Triticum aestivum (bread wheat)
Lineage: Eukaryota; Viridiplantae; Streptophyta; Magnoliopsida; Poales; Poaceae
Description: partial small subunit ribosomal RNA
Source: RNAcentral